AUAAUCCGGCGUGAUGGAGGUAAGACCUCUGUCAUAUCUGAGCUCUUCGUUCAAAAUUCCCGCAGAUGGGCCCGUGGAUGGCGCCUGUGCCUGAUUCACGUAGUACAAGCAUAGCAGCAAAGUGAGAAGGACCGCGCAGACGACGAAAACGCGGCUUGAACCGCGUCGAAGGAUCUUGUACAUGGUACGAAAGUUGGAUUCGCUUCGGGGCGGGCGUUCCUCGAUUUCGAUUCACCUGGUGCCGCGAUAUUGGCUCGAUCCCGUGUCGGUUAUGCUCGACAAUCGCUCCCCGACUUUGCCGCUGUCGCCUGUCGACUUCAUGAGAUACUUUGGCGCCGACACGAUCUGAAAGAAGAGAAGUUAAACGAAAUUAACAGACUUUGGAUGUAAAGUACGUAAAAUAUGUUAAAAUAUACGAUCUUAUCGACAUAUAUUUAACGAUUUAAAGUUUAAAAUCAUCAAUUUUUUUCUUCGAAAAAGUAUACGAAUCUAAAAGUUAGGUUAGAAUUUUACUUCGAAACAUUCUUUCGUGAAAAAUCCAUUGAUAAGUAUCGAUUACAGACGAUUUAUCGGACACAGUCGCCCCGAUAUAUUAUUGCGAGGAAUAUCGAGACUCGAGGAGCGAGAUCGAAUAGUAUUGAAUAAAAGAAGAGGACGAGAGGCACGAUUAAAAAAGAAUUCGGCUAACCAGAACCAUUUGAAAAAUUCAAAGGAUGAAAAUUAUUGUUGGGGAUAGAGAAGGAUUGGAGAAAUCGUAAAAAUUUUAAGAACACGUGUAUCCAAAUUGAAAUAAGCGAGAGGAAUUAUAGGACGAGGAAGGAGCGAUCCAAUUCCGAUGAGAACAAUAAAUACGACCUGGUGAACCAGAGACACGGUUUCCCAGAAACCUUCUGUCUCUCGACGUAAGGUCGGUUCGCACGCGAUAAUCGAUCGUACCUGUCACCACCGACCCUGGCUGAAGAACGAGCCGCGAUUUACACAUUGAAAACUCGAAUAUCGAUUUACCUUUCGUUCGAGUUAUAUUGAAAUUACAAUCGUUAAAAGACAGAUAAUGAUAGAUAAAUUCGCGAUCCAAUUUCUUCUCAUAAUUUUGUACAUUCAUUUUUUCUUUAUAAAUCUAAUAAUUAUUUAGCUUUUAAAUGAGUAUAACAUGUUAUAUUAUAUUAAAUUGAUGAUAAUUUUGUACGUUUCUUUUUUUAAAUUCCAAUAAUUUGUUUAUAUAUUUAUACACACACCAUUUUUAAAUAAUUUGUUCGUAAAUCUAAUAUUUUUAAUAAUAUCAUCAAUAUUAUCUUCCAUUGUAAUUUCAAUCCAACCCGAAAUUAAUACGAAUCCAGGAAGCCAACCGUUUUUAUUAAAACUCAAAUUUAAUCCAAGAAUUUGAAUAAACGUAACCAAAUAUUUUUCUUAAA
Long non-coding RNA from Apis cerana (Asiatic honeybee), 1412 nucleotides. RefSeq lists it as uncharacterized. Lineage: Eukaryota; Metazoa; Arthropoda; Insecta; Hymenoptera; Apidae. The record is from RefSeq and is a predicted model, not a curated record.